RNAcentral lists this ribosomal RNA (460 nucleotides) under uncultured bacterium. RNAcentral describes it as "partial 16S ribosomal RNA". It matches the Rfam family "Bacterial small subunit ribosomal RNA", at positions 338 to 795 of the family's 1533-position model. The record is from RNAcentral.
CCUACGGGGAGCAGCAGUGAGGAAUAUUGGUCAAUGGGCGGAAGCCUGAACCACCCAUGCCGCGUGCAGGAAGACGGCUCUAUGAGUUGUAAACUGCUUUUGUACGAGGGUAAACGCAGAUACGUGUAUCUGUCUGAAAGUAUCGUACGAAUAAGGAUCGGCUAACUCCGUGCCAGCAGCCGCGGUAAUACGGAGGAUUCAAGCGUUAUCCGGAUUUAUUGGGUUUAAAGGGUGCGUAGGCGGUCGGAUAAGUUAGAGGUGAAAUCCCGAGGCUCAACUUCGGAAUUGCCUCUGAUACUGUUCGGCUAGAGAGUAGUUGCGGUAGGCGGAAUGUAUGGUGUAGCGGUGAAAUGCUUAGAGAUCAUACAGAACACCGAUUGCGAAGGCAGCUUACCAAGCUACUUCUGACGUUGAGGCACGAAAGCGUGGGGAGCAAACAGGAUUAGAUACCCGGGUAGUC